GGUGAUCCUUGGGUGACACGCCCUGGAAUCAGGCUCCCUCCUCACUCGUUCCAGGUAUGUCACCUGAGAACCGCA
This is a non-coding RNA of Myotis davidii, 75 nucleotides long. NCBI's taxonomy places the organism in Eukaryota, Metazoa, Chordata, Mammalia, Chiroptera, Vespertilionidae. The record is from Rfam.